CGCAGACCAUGAAUGAGACCUGUUGUGAUUCAUUAAUGGACCACAAUGAAAAUAAAAAUAAACAACUUAGAUACAAAAAAAGGUUUUAUUUCUACUAAACACAUUAUGGAGAAGAGAUAAACAUAAUAAUUGUGUUUGCGGACAAACGAAAAAAAAUCGACUUCAAUUACAUCGACAAGUAAUACAACGUAGAUCGACGAACAAUUAGUCAAAUAACUACGCGUUAUCAAUGAUUACUCAAAAAGUAGUUAUCAGAUCUCGAUAAAAUUUAAAUGUGACCACAUGAUAAACGUCAGGUUUUGAUUAAAUUAAAAAUUAUCUAAAUCGGUACAUCCAGUAAAAAGUUAUUGCGGAUUUUCGAGAGUUUCCCUCGAUUUCUCAGGGAUUCCAUCAUCAUAUCCUGGUUUCCUUAUCAUGGUACUAAACUAGGGAUAUCCCCUUUCCAACAAAAGAAGAAU
This 458-nucleotide unclassified non-coding RNA is filed under the name Melitaea cinxia (Glanville fritillary). Its description in RNAcentral is "misc RNA ENSMCXG00005007026.1". Lineage: Eukaryota; Metazoa; Arthropoda; Insecta; Lepidoptera; Nymphalidae. The record is from RNAcentral.